Molecule: ribosomal RNA, 465 nt
Filed under: Vreelandella stevensii
Lineage: Bacteria; Pseudomonadati; Pseudomonadota; Gammaproteobacteria; Oceanospirillales; Halomonadaceae
Description: partial 16S ribosomal RNA
Rfam family: Bacterial small subunit ribosomal RNA
Source: RNAcentral
CCUACGGGCGGCAGCAGUGGGGAAUAUUGGACAAUGGGGGGAACCCUGAUCCAGCCAUGCCGCGUGUGUGAAGAAGGCCCUCGGGUUGUAAAGCACUUUCAGUGAGGAAGAACGCCUGGUGGUUAAUACCCAUCAGGAAAGACAUCACUCACAGAAGAAGCACCGGCUAACUCCGUGCCAGCAGCCGCGGUAAUACGGAGGGUGCGAGCGUUAAUCGGAAUUACUGGGCGUAAAGCGCGCGUAGGUGGCUUGAUAAGCCGGUUGUGAAAGCCCCGGGCUCAACCUGGGAACGGCAUCCGGAACUGUCAAGCUAGAGUGCAGGAGAGGAAGGUAGAAUUCCAGGUGUAGCGGUGAAAUGCGUAGAGAUCGGGAGGAAUACCAGUGGCGAAGGCGGCCUUCUGGACUGACACUGACACUGAGGUGCGAAAGCGUGGGUAGCAAACAGGAUUAGAUACCCGAGUAGUC